CCGCCGCCGGGAAGCGCUGAUCCUCGCAGGCUGUGACGGUCGCCUCGAGUCGGCCUCGUGUCGAUUCGACUUGCGAGGGGAGCGAGUGGCGAGCCCGCCCCGGGUGUCC
RNAcentral lists this non-coding RNA (109 nucleotides) under unclassified sequences. Its description in RNAcentral is "c-di-GMP sequence". It matches the Rfam family "c-di-GMP-II-GCG riboswitch aptamer". The record is from Rfam by way of RNAcentral.